CAGAAUGCUUGAUCAAACUACACCAUGUGGUGAUCCAGUCUCUGCUGGUGAAUUAAAGAAUGAUAUGAGCACUGGUGAUGAACAAGUGCAAUGUAGUGAUGUGAUACCAGACAGCACUGAGAAGGAAGAAAAUGAUGGAAAUUUUAAUGGUAGGCUCACCAGUAAUAGUGAUGAAAACAGUGCAAGUAAAAGCGUGAAUACAAAUGGAAAUGAACAGAGCCGUUCUAUUGAUGACAUUACUAAUUCGCCAGCAAAAGAGAGCACACAUAUUUCAGAGGUUCAAACAGAGGUUAACACAAGUACUGAUGAUCCUGUCAAAGAUAGUUACACUAGUAAAGUAACUAGUUGUCCAGAAUGCAAGAAACUGAGACAAAGGAAAGAAAAGGUAUUCCUGAGAAAGAACAAGUCAUGUGCCAAGUUUGCAUGGAACCGACAUUUACUGUGUGGCUUUGAGGGUGCAGUCCACCCUGACUGGAUUCUCCACAUUGUUAAUGGCUUUGUCGGGCAAUCUGAUAUUUGUGUUUAUGGACGACCUAUAUAUGUGACACUGAUAGCGCGAAGGUCAAAGGAGUUUGCUGGAACCAGAUUUUUGAAGAGAGGAGCUAAUGAUGAGGGAAAUGUAGCUAAUGAAGUUGAGACAGAACAGAUUGUCCAUGAUGCCUCAGUACUGUCAUUCAAGAGUGGCAGAUUUACAUCUUAUGUCCAGCUGAGAGGAUCGGUUCCUUCCUUCUGGUCACAGGAGGUGAAGCAAGUUAUGGUGCCAAAACCACAAAUAAUUGUUGACCGUGCAGAUCCAUUCUGCUCAGCUGCCGGUCAGCAUUUCAAUCAACUCUUGAAAAGGUUUGGAGCUCCUGUGGUCAUUCUUAAUCUUGUCAAGAAGAAGGAAAAGAAGCGACAUGAGCAGAUUCUUAGUGAAGAACUGGAGAGGGCCGUGAUUUACCUGAACCAGUUUUUACCAGCACAGCAUGCCAUACAGUACAAAGCAUGGGACAUGGCUAGAUACAACAAGAGUAAAGACUGUAAUGUGAUGGAGAAGCUAACUGUCAUUGCUGAUGAGGUUUUCAAAUCCACUGGGUUUUUCCACAGUGGACAAGAAUUGUACUGCAACCAGAUCAGAAAAGAUUCAAGGUUGACAGGCAUGUAUGGCACUGGCUAUUCAGAUGAUUGUCUCGGCAGAGAACAGAAUGGCGUGCUUAGGACAAACUGCGUGGAUUGUCUGGACAGAACCAACACUGCUCAGUUCAUGGUCGGCAAAUGCGCUCUUGGUUUUCAGUUGCAUGCAUUAGGAGUGAUUGACAAACCAUUUGUGCAGUUUGACUCGGAUGCCGUAAGGAUUUUAGAAGAUCUCUAUGAGGCUCACGGCGACACACUUGCGCUACAGUAUGGUGGAUCACAGCUUGUUCAUGGCAUUCGCACCUAUCGCAAAGUGUCACCAUUUACAUCUCACUCAAGGGACAUCAUGCAGACUGUAUCUCGUUACUACAGCAACGCUUUCACCGAUGCCGACAAACAGCAAGCCAUGAAUCUGUUUCUUGGAAUAUUUUCACCGCUGCAGGAGAAACACAACAUCUGGGAAUUACCAAGUGAUUAUUACUUACAUCACAACACAACUUGGGACUUAAGAGCUUCUAAAAACAGAAAAAGGUAAUAUAAGCAAAGACGACGUGUCCAGCAACAAACCAGAAUCGUUCGCUCGAUUCUUUCCUUGCUUGUCUCCUUCCAUGAGAAACAUCUGAGAUUCCACCCGAAAAAAAACGCAUACUGUUGACUUGAUGUGGAAGAGCCAUGGAUAUUGUCUUUGACUGGGGAUUAGAUGUUAUUUGCCAGCGAAGUGUCAAAACUCAGCGAAAACCAAUCAGAGAAACGGCACGUAUCUUCGUAUAGCUACGUCAUCGGUGUGGAACCUUUUGGGUCCAGUCUGCCACGUCCCUGGAGCGUAGGAAGAACUGAGCAACAGAGGACAGAGCUCUUUGCUUAGGCUACAGACAACGGUGUUUUUGGUCUCUUCAAUUCUUCAGAUAACGUACAGCUUUCUUUCUUUUUUCCUUUCCUUCUCAGUUACACUAAGUGGUGGGAUCAGUCAGUGGUCAACUCCUUACCUCACCCUACUCCUGACGAAUCGCCUUCGGAUGAG
Molecule: unclassified non-coding RNA, 2134 nt
Filed under: Orbicella faveolata
Lineage: Eukaryota; Metazoa; Cnidaria; Anthozoa; Scleractinia; Merulinidae
Description: polyphosphoinositide phosphatase-like, transcript variant X1
Source: RNAcentral